GGGCAAGGGAAAUCCCGAGUACCCGGGAUCAAUUUCCCUCUGGGAGUCCCUGUCGCAUACGGCUCCAGGAGGAAGAAGAUAGGGACAUCACUGCCAUGCGGGGCCAGCUUGCCAGCGACAGAAGAGAGGGGGAGAGAAGGGCAGCAUGUGCCUAGUCGAGCGGGCCGGUGGCUGGGCUGAGGAUAGAGGGCGCGCGGCUUUGGCCGAAGAGGAGAGAGCAAAUCGUGGGCUGGCUGCUGCUAGGCCUGCGGGAGAGAGGAGAGCGCCGAAUUGGGCUAGAAGUAGGUGGGGGAAUGUUUUCCCUUUUCUUUUAUUUUGUUUUUUUCAAAGCCUUUUCAAAAUAGUUUAAAAUCAGUUUGGAAGUAUUUUGAUUUUGCCCAAAAUCAAACAAUACAAUGAAAAUAAAUGCUC
RNAcentral lists this long non-coding RNA (411 nucleotides) under Sorghum bicolor (sorghum). Its description in RNAcentral is "long non-coding RNA (SBIC_LNC015776)". The record is from RNAcentral. Lineage: Eukaryota; Viridiplantae; Streptophyta; Magnoliopsida; Poales; Poaceae.